Molecule: ribosomal RNA, 253 nt
Filed under: uncultured bacterium
Lineage: Bacteria
Description: partial 16S ribosomal RNA
Rfam family: Bacterial small subunit ribosomal RNA
Source: RNAcentral
CACGUAGGGUGCGAGCGUUGUCCGGAAUUAUUGGGCGUAAAGAGCUCGUAGGCGGUCCGUCACGUCGGAUGUGAAAUUCCAGGGCUCAACCCUGGACCUGCAUUCGAUACGGGCGGACUAGAGUUCGGUAGGGGAGACUGGAAUUCCUGGUGUAGCGGUGAAAUGCGCAGAUAUCAGGAGGAACACCGGUGGCGAAGGCGGGUCUCUGGGCCGAUACUGGCGCUGAGGAGCGAAAGCGUGGGGAGCGAACAGG